UACGUAGGUGGCAAGCGUUGUCCGGAUUUACUGGGCGUAAAGGGUGCGUAGGCGGCGGGGCAAGUCGGAUGUGAAAUCUCAGGGCUCAACCCUGAAACUGCAUUCGAUACUGCUCUGCUCGAGGACUGGAGAGGAGAUUGGAAUUCACGGUGUAGCAGUGAAAUGCGUAGAUAUCGUGAGGAAGACCAGUGGCGAAGGCGGAUCUCUGGACAGUUCCUGACGCUGAGGCACGAAGGCCAGGGGAGCAAACGGG
This 253-nucleotide ribosomal RNA is filed under the name uncultured bacterium. Its description in RNAcentral is "partial 16S ribosomal RNA". It matches the Rfam family "Bacterial small subunit ribosomal RNA", at positions 524 to 776 of the family's 1533-position model. The record is from RNAcentral.